AAGGCAAAUGUGGUGGUUUUCUGGUGUGCUUAAGUAUGAUUGGGUGGCCUUUUUCCACUGUCCACCUGAGUAUGCCGAUGGGAUGUAGAACUUUCUGAAGACUUGUGUCAAAGUUCAGUUCCUUUAAGGUCCCUUCAGAUGUCAGUUUCCUCGUCUCACAUGAACUAAUAAUUACUUCUGUGUUACCAAGAUUUGAGAUAAUGUAAAUCAGAUGCCAGCAGUAUGAACAUUGUGAGUCACCAUGAUGUGUAAGAACACCAGGGAGUGAGUCACUCCGUAGCACCUGUGGAUGGGAGUGGUGGGAAAGGGAGCAUGGUGGGGGCUGGCUGGUUUGGGAGUUUAGGAUGAAUAACAGGGUUGCAGUGAUGGGUAAAGUGGCUAGUGGGACCGCUUAUGGGAUGCCUGGUGUUAGCAUGUUCCCAGUGAGUGAACAAGGAAGACCUGUUUUGACACUUGGGGUCAUAGAUUGUUUUCAGGUAAUUCCUGCAAGAACAAUCAGUUGUGGUUUGUGACUUCAUGUCCUGAGACCAGUGUAUCAUUCUUAAUGCCCUGCAUUUUUAAGAAAUACCCUGAUAUCUUUAGAAAGAUUAACUUACAAAGUUAGCUGGUCUGAUAGCCUUUUGGUUUUAUAUUAGUAAUCCCCCCUCCCCCCCCAAAGAGAUGGAGUCCAGAGCUGUGAUGGAGCCAAAAGCAACUUCCUAGUUUCUCUGAAAUAAGUACCCAAAAAAGUGCUAUUCUAUUCCAAAGAGAGGACAAAAUUCCACGCUUGUCCUGGCACAGUUUUCCCGGUGGAUUAACCCCAGAGGGUUAAUUCAGGACACAAACCUUUGAUCAGGAUUCUUACGGAGAACGCUUUCAGUUCAUGUCCACACUAACAGUGUUGGAGGUCCAGCUACUGGACUUCACGUGAUUGCAGCCUGACCUGAGGGAAAGUCAGUUCCCUCCCUUUGACUUCUGCAACCACCAACCUGUGGCCCAGAUCCACAGUAGGUCCUGGGCUUUGUACAGAUUUGUAAGAGGCCACUCCACAAAUAACAGUAUCUCUUCUGUUUGAGACAGUGUUUAUUUUGGAAGGUGAUGUUAGAGAAAAGCUAGAGGAGGCCUUACUGAGUGUUUUACCGGGGAAUUGACAGGAUUUAUUUAUGAGUGAUAAGAGUACCUGGGUUAGAGCAGGUGCUGUGUAGGCCCCAAAGCAGGGUUGCAUCUCUACAAAGGCAGGCUCUACUUAUAUAGGCUUGCAUAGUGGCCACAUCUGCAUUGUGGGCGUGCCGGAUGUUAGUGAGAGCUUAUAGUAUAGGCCUUAGAUAUCACCGUGGCAGUUGGCAGGCACAUUCCACACUGCAUCUUUAGGUGUAGGUGAGACUUUAUAGAGGAGCUAACUAAACCCAUUGUCACACAGCUUGUGUCUGGGUUGAGCCGAAGGGCUGCUGGUGUCUUUGGUGUGGUACAGGUUCUCCCACUGUGGAUGUUGUACUGAACUUGACAGUGGUGUCAGUUGAAUAUGCUAUACGAGCCUGACUGUGCCUGGUCAAGUGUGACUGUGCUAAGGACAGCACCUGCGACUAGCAGGAAUCUGGAUGUACCCUGAGGAAGGGCUGUGUCCUGCAAACAAGUAGUCAAUUGUUAGUGGCAGGGGAGGAAAGCAAGGUUGAGCUCAUCAUAGGAGCUUUCUCUGUGGGCUUCCUUUAAGGCCUAGUACAGUUCAAGGGCCCCUGUGUGAGUGGCUCACCUCAUUUUGGUAGCCUGGAGUCUACAGCAAAGUAGCAGAAAGAAGGCAAGAGCCAAUCCCUGAAGGUUGUCCUCUAACCUUGGAGUGUAUGCUGUUGCUAUGUGGUUAUACUCAUGCGCACAUCUCUCUGUCUCUGUCUCUCUGUCUCUCUGUCUCUCUUUUACACACAGACAUGCACACACAUGCAUACAUACAGAAUGAAAAAUGCUGAGGUAGUUUUGAUUCAAGUUAACUGAA
Molecule: long non-coding RNA, 1966 nt
Filed under: Mus musculus (house mouse)
Lineage: Eukaryota; Metazoa; Chordata; Mammalia; Rodentia; Muridae
Description: long non-coding RNA chr2:57251851-57253817
Source: RNAcentral